Molecule: ribosomal RNA, 470 nt
Filed under: uncultured bacterium
Lineage: Bacteria
Description: partial 16S ribosomal RNA
Rfam family: Bacterial small subunit ribosomal RNA
Source: RNAcentral
GGUGAACGCUGGCGGCGUGCCUAAGACAUGCAAGUCGAGCGGGGCAGGUUUAUACCUGUUCUGCGGCGGACGGGUGAGUAACGCGUGGGUGACCUACCCGGAAGAGGCGGACAACCUGGGGAAAUCCAGGCUAAUCCGCCAUGUGGUUCUGUCCUGUGGGGCAGGACUAAAGGGUGGAUAGCUCGCUUCCGGAUGGGCCCGCGUCCCAUCAGCUAGUUGGUGGGGUAAAGGCCCACCAAGGCGACGACGGGUAGCCGGUCUGAGAGGAUGGCCGGCCAGAGGGGCACUGAGACACUAGCGCCACUCCUACGGGGGGCAGCAGUUAAGAAGCUGCCGCAAUGGGCGCAAGCCUGACGGAGCGACGCCGCGUGGAGGGGGAAGCCCUGCGGGGUGUAAGCGCCUGAACUGGGGGCGAAAGCCCCGUGUAGGGGGAUGACGGUACCCAGGUAAAAGCACCGGCCAACUCCGUG